GACCACUGCUCUAGAGCCUCCAUUAGCAGCUGCCAUAGGUCACCGUUUCUUUUGGCCUGCCAGAAAUCUCAAUUUUCAUCACAGUAUCGUCAUUUCGAUGGAGCUCCUCCAUCCUGCGGAUCUUUGAUAGGAGUGUCACUUUGGAAACAUGCUGACUGUUGGUAUUUUUCCUGUAGAGAGUCCCCAAGCUGUGAAUUUUGGGAAAAGAUGUCUCUCCUGUCAUGUGAGGGUGUGGGACCUGGCUUGGAUAACUGUUUCCUCUGAGGGAUCCCAGCAUGCACCUGCUCCUGGGCGUAGCAUCGCUGCAGGCAGCAGACACUCAUUCCCCCCGAGGGCACCGCGACACGGAGCGAAACCUUCCCGCUCGCUGAGGAUAGGGAACGGAAGGCGUGUCUGAAACAAUGCUGUCUCCUUCCGAACAUGGGAAAAUAAAAAACCCUCUCCUGAUGGGUGGAUCUGGGUGUAGAAAGAGGAGCAAAGAAAAGAAUAAACAGGAGAAAAAUAAGCCAUUGGAAUCAGGCUCCAGUGCAACAGCCCCAUUCGACUCUGCUAGCAGCAGGCCUGAGUGUGUG
This is a long non-coding RNA of Conger conger (European conger), 572 nucleotides long. RefSeq lists it as uncharacterized. NCBI's taxonomy places the organism in Eukaryota, Metazoa, Chordata, Actinopteri, Anguilliformes, Congridae. The transcript has 3 exons. The record is from RefSeq and is a predicted model, not a curated record.